This 253-nucleotide ribosomal RNA is filed under the name uncultured bacterium. RNAcentral describes it as "partial 16S ribosomal RNA". It matches the Rfam family "Bacterial small subunit ribosomal RNA", at positions 524 to 776 of the family's 1533-position model. The record is from RNAcentral.
UACGAAGGGGGCUAGCGUUGUUCGGAAUUACUGGGCGUAAAGGGCGCGUAGGCGGCUCUGAUCGUCGGAUGUGAAAGGCCUGGGCUCAACCUGGGAACUGCAUCCGAUACGGCGGGGCUGGAGUGUGGGAGAGGUUGGUGGAAUUCCCAGUGUAGAGGUGAAAUUCGUAGAUAUUGGGAAGAACACCGGUGGCGAAGGCGGCCAACUGGACCACAACUGACGCUGAGGCGCGAAAGCGUGGGGAGCAAACAGG